Molecule: long non-coding RNA, 581 nt
Organism: Cyprinodon variegatus (sheepshead minnow)
Lineage: Eukaryota; Metazoa; Chordata; Actinopteri; Cyprinodontiformes; Cyprinodontidae
Exons: 4
Source: RefSeq, a predicted model, not a curated record
UUUCAGUUUAUUCUUUGUGGCAUCGUUUGCAUUUUGUCGGAGAAGAUUCAUAAUCCAUGUCUGGUCUUCCUCAAUGUGAUUGUAAAUCUGACUGGAACGGCUGUAGCCAUUUCUGCCAUAGUGAUUCACAGCAAAGACAUGGAUGAGAUUCACUGGGAGUCGUGUGAGUUUCAUCUGAGAAGCAUCAUCCAUACGCUGCUCCUCCUGUCGGUGGUGGAGGUCUGUGUCUCCAUCAGCUCUGCUGUGUUGAGGAUUAAAGCUCUGUGUGACGACAGCAAGGAGCACAACGAGACUGCAGAGGACCCAGAGAUAAAAAAGCCGCUGCUGGAGGAAGUGACGGCCGAGCCUGCAGCCUGAACAUUUUCCACUUCCUGUAAACUUGAUCCCUUCACCUCUCAUGGGAUUAAAAGCCACAUUAACCAUUUACUUAUUAUCUGUCUUUGGAUUUUUUCUGUAAAUUGUGCUUUUCUCUUGCCUAACGCACUUUUGAAAGGAACCAUUUCUCAUUUAGCUCAGCUUUUCUGUGACAUCACUGUUUUUUUGUGUUCUGAGGUUGGAGUUGUUCAAAAGUUUACUUGGGA